GAAGAAGAGCAAAAUGGAGAUCUGAUUAACACCAGAGAGAGACCAGACUCAGAGGAACCAGAGACGUCUGAACCAGCAAGACGACACCACUGCUCCCAGUGUGGAAAAAGUUUUACCCAAUUACGGACACUGAAGGUGCAUGGAAGAAUACACACUGGAGAGAGGCCCUACCAAUGUUCCCAAUGUGGAAAGAGUUUUGCCCUGUUAGAGAGCAUGAAAAUACAUAAUAGAAUACACACAGGAGAGAAGCCUUACCAAUGCUCCCAGUGUGUAAAGAGAUUUUCACAGUUAAGUUGCCUGAAAUCACAUGAGAUAAUACACACAGGAGAUAAGCCUCACAAAUGCCCUCAAUGUGGUAAUACUUUUAAGCGGUUAAGUAACCUGAAGGACCAUAAGAGAGUACACACAGGGGAAAAGCCUUACCACUGUAUCCAUUGUGAAGAGAGUUUUAGCUGGUCAAGGCAACUGAAAGCGCAUGAGAGAACACACACCGGAGAGAAGCCCUACCAAUGUUCCCAGUGUGGAAAGAGUUUUACCCAGCUAGGGAGCCUGAAAAUACAUAAUAGAAUACACACAGGAGAAAAGCCUUACCAAUGCUCCCAGUGUGGAAAGAGAUGUAAACGGUUAAGUUGCCUGAAAUCACAUGAGAUAAUACACACAGGAGAUAAGCCUCAUAAAUGCCCUCUAUGUGGUAAUACUUUUAAGCGGCUAAGUAACCUGAAGGAACAUGAAAGAGUACACACAGGGGAAAAGCCUUACCACUGUUUCCAAUGUGAAAAGAAUUUCAGCACAUUAAGGCAACUGAAAGAGCAUGAGAGAACACACACCGGAGAGAAGCCCUACCAAUGUUCCCAGUGUGGAAGGCGUUUUAACCGCUUAAGUAACCUGAAAUCACAUGAGUGGACACACAGGAGAAAAGCCACAUCACUGAUCUGUGUGGAAAUAGUACCUCAUCAGGCUUCCUGAAGAUUCAUGAGCAAAGACACACGAGAAAAGCCUUUCCACUGCUCCCAGUGUGAAAUGACAUUUACCUGGUUAAGGCAACUGAAAUCACAUGAAAGAAUCCACACGAGAGAGAAAUGUUAUGAAUGCUCUCAGUGUAGAAAGAUAUUUACCCAGUUUAGGCACCUGAAAGACCGAGGUUACCCUCUCAGCGGAGAAGCCUUACCUAUGCUCCCAGUGUGGAGAGCGAUAUUUCACAUACUUACAAUUCAUGACGUAACACACACAUUGCUCCCACACUUGUCUCAUCUUUUACUGAAAAUUGGUGCUUUGUGGUUUUGUUUAUGCCCUUAUUUCCAUAUGAAAUCAAAUUGGAGAAAACCUACUCAAAAAUACAUUUGUAUGUUUUAUGUUUUAAAAUCCCAAGAUAUGAAUUGAAUAUGGAGUGUGUCUGUUUUUAUGUAGAUUAUGUACACACUGUGAUUAAAUAGUCUUUUUUUUUUUACUCUGACACUGUUUUUUGUGGGGGGUUUUAAUCAAGUGUUAUAUGUUGUUAAUCGAGUGAUAUGUUGUUAAGCGUGAUCUGUUGUUUACAUAUGUGAUGGAUAUUUAUCUUAGAGAAUGUGGCAUUAAAGCCCCCAUUCAGUC
Salvelinus namaycush (lake trout) is the source of this 1590-nucleotide long non-coding RNA. RefSeq lists it as uncharacterized. The record is from RefSeq and is a predicted model, not a curated record. The transcript is spliced from 2 exons. NCBI's taxonomy places the organism in Eukaryota, Metazoa, Chordata, Actinopteri, Salmoniformes, Salmonidae.